UUUUAAUUUUGAAAAAAGGAAAAUAAUACAGCAAAACCCAUGGACCCAUUCACUCCCCAGAAUUAAUGUUAAUAUCUUGUGUACUUAUUUCAGAUCUUCUUGUAUUAUGUAUAUAUGUGUGUGUGUAUAUAUAUUUAUUUAUUAUUAUUAUUAUUUUUUGAGAUGGAGUUUUUCUUUUGCUGCCCAGGCUGGAGUGCAAUGGCGCAAUCUUGGCUCACCGUAACAGGGAGACUCCGUCUCAAAAAAAAAAUAAAUGAAACAAACAAACAGAAAAACCAACUUCUACUUUCUCCAUGUCCCCACUAACACCAGUAUUAUCAGGCUUUUUUAUGUUGCCCAUCUGAAGAUAAUAAAUGUGUACUUUUUGGAUUAGUAAUAAGGCUAUCCAACUGUUAAAUGAUAUACAGGAAAAAACUUUGAUAUGUGAGAAAAUUCUUAUAAUAUUAGGUGAGAAAGGUUGAAGACAAAAUUAUAUUUUAGGAACUCUCAAGCAUGUUAACUUUUUUAAAGGAAACCUACAAUUAUGUCAAAAUUAAAAGUUUAAUUUUUUUUUUUUUUGAGAUGGAGUCUCACUCUGGUGUCCAGGCUGGAGAGCAGUGGCACAAUCUCGGCUCACUGCAACUUCUGCCUCCGGGGUUCAAGAGAUUCUCCGGCCCAGCCUCCUGAGUAGCUGGGAUUAUAGGUGCAGGCCACCAUGCCCAGGUAAUUUUUGUAUUUUUUAGUAGAGAUGGGCUUUUGCCAUGUUGGUCAGGGUGGUCUUGAACUCCUGACCUGAGGUGAUCCCCCCGCCUUGGCCUCUCAAAGUGCUGGGGUUACAGGUGUG
This 823-nucleotide long non-coding RNA is filed under the name Homo sapiens (human). RNAcentral describes it as "HSALNT0237698". The record is from RNAcentral. Lineage: Eukaryota; Metazoa; Chordata; Mammalia; Primates; Hominidae.